GCCGGAGGGAAACCGAGUCUUAAUUGGGCGUUAAGUUGCAGGGUAUAGACCCGAAACCCGGUGAUCUAGCCAUGGGCAGGUUGAAGGUUGGGUAACACUAACUGGAGGACCGAACCGACUAAUGUUGAAAAAUUAGCGGAUGACCUGUGGCUGGGGGUGAAAGGCCAAUCAAACCGGGAGAUAGCUGGUUCUCCCCGAAAGCUAUUUAGGUAGCGCCUCGUGAAUUCAUCUCCGGGGGUAGAGCACUGUUUCGGCUAGGGGGCCAUCCCGGCUUACCAACCCGAUGCAAACUGCGAAUACCGGAGAAUGUUAUCACGGGAGACACACGGCGGGUGCUAACGUCCGUCGUGAAGAGGGAAACAACCCAGACCGCCAGCUAAGGUCCCAAAGUCAUGGUUAAGUGGGAAACGAUGUGGGAAGGCCCAGACAGCCAGGAUGUUGGCUUAGAAGCAGCCAUCAUUUAAAGAAAGCGUAAUAGCUCACUGGUCGAGUCGGCCUGCGCGGAAGAUGUAACGGGGCUAAACCAUGCACCGAAGCUGCGGCAGCGAACGUAUCACCCAAGACAACUUUACGGAGUUGACGAUUGACGGAGCGAAGCGACGUCAAAGCGUUCAUUAAAGUCGAGUUGGCUUAGGGAUACGUUCGUUGGGUAGGGGAGCGUUCUGUAAGCCUGUGAAGGUGUGUCGUGAGGCAUGCUGGAGGUAUCAGAAGUGCGAAUGCUGACAUAAGUAACGAUAAAGCGGGUGAAAAGCCCGCUCGCCGGAAGACCAAGGGUUCCUGUCCAACGUUAAUCGGGGCAGGGUGAGUCGACCCCUAAGGCGAGGCCGAAAGGCGUAGUCGAUGGGAAACGGGUUAAUAUUCCCGUACUUGGUGUUACUGCGAAGGGGGGACGGAGAAGGCUAUGUUGGCCGGGCGACGGUUGUCCCGGUUUAAGCGUGUAGGUGUGUGUUCCAGGUAAAUCCGGUU
RNAcentral lists this ribosomal RNA (966 nucleotides) under Salmonella enterica subsp. enterica serovar Typhimurium. RNAcentral's name for it is "partial 23S ribosomal RNA". It matches the Rfam family "Bacterial large subunit ribosomal RNA", at positions 665 to 1547 of the family's 2925-position model. Lineage: Bacteria; Pseudomonadati; Pseudomonadota; Gammaproteobacteria; Enterobacterales; Enterobacteriaceae. The record is from RNAcentral.